Molecule: ribosomal RNA, 440 nt
Filed under: uncultured bacterium
Lineage: Bacteria
Description: partial 16S ribosomal RNA
Rfam family: Bacterial small subunit ribosomal RNA
Source: RNAcentral
CUACGGGAUGCUGCAGUGGGGAAUCUUGCGCAAUGGGCGAAAGCCUGACGCAGCAACGCCGCGUGCGGGAAGAAUGCCCUUUGGGCUGUAAACCGCUUUCAGCAGGAACGAAAAUGACGGUACCUGCAGAAGAAGAAGCGGCCAACUAUGUGCCAGCAGCCGCGGUAAUACAUAGGCUUCGAGCGUUGUCCGGAUUUAUUGGGCGUAAAGAGUUCGUAGGCGGUUAAGUAAGUCGGGUGUGAAAAUUCUGGGCUCAACCCAGAAACGCCACCCGAUACUGCUUGACUUGAGUUCGACAGGGGAGUGGGGAAUUCCUAGUGUAGCGGUGAAAUGCGCAGAUAUUAGGAGGAACACCGGUGGCGAAGGCGCCACUCUGGGUCGACACUGACGCUGAGGAACGAAAGCAUGGGUAGCAAACAGGAUUAGAUACCCGCGUAGUC